RNAcentral lists this ribosomal RNA (377 nucleotides) under uncultured bacterium. RNAcentral's name for it is "bacterial SSU rRNA". It matches the Rfam family "Bacterial small subunit ribosomal RNA", at positions 521 to 896 of the family's 1533-position model. The record is from RNAcentral.
UAAUACGAAGGGUGCAAGCGUUACUCGGAAUUACUGGGCGUAAAGCGUGCGUAGGUGGUCUGUUAAGUCUGAUGUGAAAGCCCUGGGCUCAACCUGGGAACGGCAUUGGAUACUGGCAGACUGGAGUGCGGUAGAGGAUAGCGGAAUUCCCGGUGUAGCAGUGAAAUGCGUAGAUAUCGGGAGGAACAUCUGUGGCGAAGGCGGCUAUCUGGACCAGCACUGACACUGAGGCACGAAAGCGUGGGGAGCAAACAGGAUUAGAUACCCUGGUAGUCCACGCCCUAAACGAUGCGAACUGGAUGUUGGGUGCACUUAGGCACUCAGUAUCGAAGCUAACGCGUUAAGUUCGCCGCCUGGGGAGUACGGUCGCAAGACUG